UUGGAGGGCAAGUCUGGUGCCAGCAGCCGCGGUAAUUCCAGCUCCAAUAGCGUAUAUUAAAGUUGUUGCAGUUAAAAAGCUCGUAGUUGAAUUUCGGGAUCAAUGUUUCGGUCAUGCCGUUGGUAUGUACUGAUAUUAUUGAUUUCUCACCUUCUAAAGAACCGUAAUGCCAUUAAUUUGGUGUCACGGGGAAUUAGGACUGUUACCUUGAAAAAAUUAGAGUGCUUAAAGCAGGCUCACGCUUGAAUACAUUAGCAUGGAAUAAUGAAAUAGGACAUCCGAUUCUAUUUUGUUGGUUUCUAGGAUCGAUGUAAUGAUUAAUAGGGAUAGUUGGGGGCAUUAGUAUUCAAUUGUCAGAGGUGAAAUUCUUGGAUUUAUUGAAGACUAACUACUGCGAAAGCAUUUGCCAAGGAUGUUUUCAUUAAUCAAGAACGAAAGUUAGGGGAUCGAAGACGAUCAGAUACCGUCGUAGUCUUAACCAUAAACUAUGCCGACUAGGGAUCGGAUGAUGUUAAUUUUUUAAUGACUCAUUCGGCGCCUUACGGGAAAC
This 550-nucleotide ribosomal RNA is filed under the name uncultured Funneliformis. RNAcentral describes it as "SSU rRNA". It matches the Rfam family "Eukaryotic small subunit ribosomal RNA", at positions 548 to 1098 of the family's 1831-position model. Lineage: Eukaryota; Fungi; Glomeromycota; Glomeromycetes; Glomerales; Glomeraceae. The record is from RNAcentral.